UAGUUGUGGGGGUGUAUGAAGAUCAUAAAUAGCAGGAACUCAUACAAGAAGAGUAUCAUACUCAAGCAGAAGUCUCUGACCGCCGCUGCUGAAGCACAGAGCUUCUGAACUUCACCAUGACCACCUUUCCUGAAGACAAUGCUAAAUUUGCUGUUGAACUUUACCACCGGCUAAUCAAAGAACACCCACACGAGAACAUCUUGUUCUCCCCUGUGAAUGCUACCUCUGCUGUGGGCCUGCUUGCCUUUGCAUCUGGAGGUGAACAGGCAGCUGAGAUUGAGAAGGUCAUUCAUUGGACUGUGCUAGAAGAGCAUCAUGAUUCCAAAAACAGAGGGUAUCUGGAAGCACUUAGAAG
Non-coding RNA from Pogona vitticeps (central bearded dragon), 355 nucleotides. NCBI's taxonomy places the organism in Eukaryota, Metazoa, Chordata, Lepidosauria, Squamata, Agamidae. The record is from RefSeq and is a predicted model, not a curated record.